AGAAGACGACAGCGUGGAAGUGUAACAAUUCUUUGCAUUUGGCAGGAGAGUGGGUGGAGGUUGUGCGGGGAGAAUGAAGACUGUGUACAGUUGAUAAGUAGUCAACGUUCGACUGAGAGAGAAGAGAUUGACAUAAUGUGCAACUUUAUAAUCAUCAUAUAAAAUACUCAUGCUAAACUGAAUGCUAAACAAAACAGCUGAAUCUGAACACAUUCAUUUGAAGGCCUGUCAUUUCCUCUUCUUCAUCCAAACCAAGCCUGACCUGCUACAGAGAACAAAGAAAACUCAAAUUGUUACUCCAUUAGCUGAAAUGUGCUCUGAAAGAACCUCCUCCCUGUACAUCCAUCACUGAUCAUUAUGGCAUCUUAGCGUAAUUGCCCUCCCCCUGUAGCGUGCGCACACUCGCUGGUCCUGAAUGCCAGCAGUAAUAUCUCUGCUUCAGAGACAGAGAGAGAGAGAGGGAGAGAGAGAGUGAUGUGCAUAACCAGCUCAUUUCCACCGCCAAUCAAAUUACCCGACCCAGCCGCAAUACA
This is a non-coding RNA of Labrus bergylta (ballan wrasse), 533 nucleotides long. NCBI's taxonomy places the organism in Eukaryota, Metazoa, Chordata, Actinopteri, Labriformes, Labridae. The record is from RefSeq and is a predicted model, not a curated record.